UUACUAAAAUGUAUAAUGAGGGGAGGAGAUUUAAAGCUGUAUGUAAACAACCAAGGUGUCCUUUUCAUGAAUAUUGAACUUUGAUCAUUGAUAGGAAAUCUUAUCAAUUAAGGAUAUAUGAGCAUAGUCACACUUGUAUGAGGAUUUAUGCAACUUCAAUGUGGGUAGUAGAAAAAUCGGUUGACUUCAUUACAUCACAUAAAGGCUCAUCCAUUAAGCCUUUAGAUGAUCAGUCUGGUAGGGUACAUUAUCUAGAGUUGCCAAAACAUAAGUUUUAUAUAGCUCAUCUGUUAAGCCUUUAGAAAAAUUGUUUGACUUUAUUAGAUCACAUAAAGGCUCAUCCAUUAAGCCUUUAUUAGAUGAUAAGUUGGGUAGGGUACAUUAUCUAAAGUUGUCAAAACAGAAGCUUUAUAAGGCUAGGAAGGAACUGGGUUAAGGAGAAGACAGAUAAAGAACAUGCUGAUUGAUUUAAUUGGCAUUGCAAGUACAAUCACAGUGGAUGUUACUAAUCUUGGUUCUUUCAUAGAUGUUUGUGUUAUUAGAAUAGAUGGGGUGGCUAAAACACCUAAUUUUAAAAGAUAUUUCAUAGGUUUUGAAGCACAGAAAAUGGGGUUCUUAGAAGGGUGCAGGCCUUUUAUUGGUAUUGAUGGAAGCCACUUUAAGGGCCAUAUGGGGGAAUGUUUUUUACUGCAAUAAGAUGGAUACAAACAGCGGUAAUUUUUCACUUGCUAUUUCCAUUUGUGAGGUGGAAAACAAUGACUCAUGGGGUCCCAUUCCUUAGUCCAUUGCAUUAUUUGAUCAUCUCAACAUGGCAAACUGAUUUUUAUGUUUUUUUUACCAUUUUUACUUGCAGAGGGGCAAUGGUUCAUCUGAUACAGAUUUUAGACGUGAAGCCCCCUGAAUUGAAGCUGGUUCAUUUGGUGGCAUGUCAAAUUUCAUGCAGCAGCAAAUUUUAGAGGUUCUCAGCAUUGCAUUUAAGAAUCUUCUAGUCAAAUAUCAAGCCAAGUCUUCAGCUUAACAUAGCAACCAAACCUAAGAGACUACACAAAGAUAUUGUCUCAGAGGGAGAAUCGGAGAAUGAAGAAAUAACGGGGGUUGUUAAACAACCUGAGAAGUGCUAUCCAAAAGAACGAGGAAAGCUUGUGAAAUUUCCUUAUAGCAGUUAUAUGUGAGCUCUUUAUGGAAGGGACCAAUCGAGUAACGAGUCAUCUGUUGACAGCCGCAAAGGGUCUUUAGCCAUAGUUCCUGCUAUCCCCGUUGAAGACAUCGAGGUGAACCUUCACUCUGACAUGGAUUAGCCUAUGCUUCAGUCCCAGUCCUCUCAUCCACUGGAUCUGUCAGCGCCCAAGGGUAAGAAGAGUAAAAACAAAGGACGACGAUCCUAGCUUCUUUUUCUUUUUCUUUAUUGUAGAGUCUGCAUGCUCUCUUUGGACGUUUGUGCCUCAUUUUGUGUUUUUGUUUCGGAGCCUGCGUGCUCCUGUUUAGACCUCUGUGCCUUUUUUUUAU
Long non-coding RNA from Pistacia vera, 1506 nucleotides. RefSeq lists it as uncharacterized. The record is from RefSeq and is a predicted model, not a curated record. The transcript has 3 exons. NCBI's taxonomy places the organism in Eukaryota, Viridiplantae, Streptophyta, Magnoliopsida, Sapindales, Anacardiaceae.